Molecule: ribosomal RNA, 396 nt
Filed under: uncultured bacterium
Lineage: Bacteria
Description: partial 16S ribosomal RNA
Rfam family: Bacterial small subunit ribosomal RNA
Source: RNAcentral
AUACGUAGGUGACAAGCGUUAUCCGGAUUUACUGGGCGUAAAGGGCGUGUAGGCGGUCUUGCAAGUCAGGAGUGAAAUCUAGGGGCUCAACCCCUAAACUGCUUUUGAAACUGUAUCCCUUGAGUAUCGGAGAGGCAGGCGGAAUUCCCAGUGUAGCGGUGAAAUGCGUAGAUAUUAGGAGGAACACCAGUGGCGAAGGCGGCCUGCUGGACGACAACUGACGCUGAGGCGCGAAAGCGUGGGGAGCAAACAGGAUUAGAUACCCUGGUAGUCCACGCUGUAAACGAUGAAUACUAGGUGUGGGGGGACUGACCCCCUCCGUGCCGCAGUUAACACAAUAAGUAUUCCGCCUGGGGAGUACGAUCGCAAGAUUGAAACUCAAAGGAAUUGACGGGG